This is a long non-coding RNA of Amyelois transitella, 348 nucleotides long. RefSeq lists it as uncharacterized. NCBI's taxonomy places the organism in Eukaryota, Metazoa, Arthropoda, Insecta, Lepidoptera, Pyralidae. The transcript has 2 exons. The record is from RefSeq and is a predicted model, not a curated record.
UUAUAUUGAAAUACCAGCACAAUGUAUCGUUUACCUUUCGGAGAAAGAGUAGAUCCCAUGGAGGAGAAGCGUCAAGCUCGAGAAAAUACUAUACAUAGCCUGAUCACAUUUUGUGUCCUUUGUGCUGCUAUAAGAGUUGCUCCAUUUAUCUUGGAACAGGGCGGGUUCAACGUGUGAGAGCGGUUACUUUUACGAUGUUAUAUCCAAAGUGAAAGUUUUAGAUGUUAAGUUAAUAAAUUACUGCGGCACAAAUACUAGAAAUAAAUGUAAUAGUUUAGUUUGAGUAAAGUUUCUGCUUUAUUCCAUAGUUGAUGAUUUUCAAUAAUUAAACAAUGUUGUAAUAAAUUA